This 253-nucleotide ribosomal RNA is filed under the name uncultured bacterium. Its description in RNAcentral is "partial 16S ribosomal RNA". It matches the Rfam family "Bacterial small subunit ribosomal RNA", at positions 524 to 776 of the family's 1533-position model. The record is from RNAcentral.
UACGUAGGGUGCAAGCGUUGUCCGGAAUUAUUGGGCGUAAAGAGCUCGUAGGCGGUUUGUUGCGUCGGCUGUGAAAUCCCGAGGCUCAACCUCGGGUCUGCAGUCGAUACGAGCAAACUAGAGUGUUGCAGGGGAGACUGGAAUUCCUGGUGUAGCAGUGAAAUGCGCAGAUAUCAGGAGGAACACCAAUGGCGAAGGCAGCUCGCUGGGACGGUACUGACGCUGAGGCGCGAAAGCGUGGGGAGCAAACAGG